Molecule: ribosomal RNA, 423 nt
Filed under: uncultured bacterium
Lineage: Bacteria
Description: bacterial SSU rRNA
Rfam family: Bacterial small subunit ribosomal RNA
Source: RNAcentral
AUGGGAACGCGAAGAACCUUACCUAGACUUGACAUCUCCUGAAUAGUGUAGAGAUACAUGAAGCCCUUCGGGGCAGGAAGACAGGUGGUGCAUGGUUGUCGUCAGCUCGUGUCGUGAGAUGUUGGGUUAAGUCCCGCAACGAGCGCAACCCUUAUUACUAGUUGCUACCAUUAAGUUGAGCACUCUAGUGAGACUGCCCGGGGUUAACCGGGAGGAAGGCGGGGAUGACGUCAAAUCAUCAUGCCCCUUAUGUCUAGGGCAACACACGUGCUACAAUGGUGAGUACAGAUAGAUGCGAUACCGCAAGGUGGAGCCAAACUCUAAAACUCAUCCCAGUUCGGAUUGUAGGCUGCAACUCGCCUACAUGAAGUUGGAGUUGCUAGUAAUCGCGAAUCAGAAUGUCGCGGUGAAUACGUUCCCGGG